UUGGUUUCUGUCCCUUCAAUUAUGAUCACAAUCCUCUUUUUCUUCUUCCUCUUUUUCUUGGUCAUCUGCUGACCUUGGUCUAUUGGGGUUUCUGUGUCAACAGGGGGAGAUGGGCCCACUGGGUCGAUUGAGGGUGCAUCUGUAUGGUAUAUAGAUUUCUGAACAGGGGCCUCAGGCGGAGCAGCUUCAGGCAGCUUGUAGUGUUCAUUGAGUUCUGCCGCUUCACUUUCAAGCUUACUCUUCCUUUUCUUCUUUUUCUUUGACAUCUCCUGUUCAGGGCCUGUUGAGAUUGCAAGGCAAGGGUCCAUUGGAAUUGCUGGGUCUAUUGGGGAUGCUUCUAUAAGGCAUGUAGAUGUCUGAAUUGAGAUUUCUGGCAGCUCUGUAGAAGUUGUCUUCUUCCUUUGCUUCUUCUUUAUCUUCUUCAUCGUCAGUUCUAGGUCUAUUGGGGUUGCUGGAUCCACCAGGAUUGUUUGGUCCAUCAAGGAUGCUGGUUGUAGGCUUAUUGGGGUUGCUUGGUCUUGUUGGACCUGGUCUGGGGCCUGGUUGAGGGUUAUGUCCAUAUGCAAUGGGCUCCCUUGGUUCUCCACCUCUUCUGAGCAUAUUAUUAUUGUUUCUUUUUCUCUCUUGCUUUUUUGUUUUCUUCUUCUCUGAUCAAUUGGAGUUGCUGGAUCACCCGGAGGCUCUGCACAUGGCGCAGAGCAAGGUUGAGGUUGAGGGGGUUGAGCACGUGCAUCAGGGUUUUGGACAGGUUCUACCUCUUUUUUCUUUUCUGAGUUUGUUGGAGCUGGCAGGUCUAUUGGGG
Molecule: long non-coding RNA, 802 nt
Filed under: Glycine max (soybean)
Lineage: Eukaryota; Viridiplantae; Streptophyta; Magnoliopsida; Fabales; Fabaceae
Description: long non-coding RNA (GMAX_LNC004620)
Source: RNAcentral